Molecule: non-coding RNA, 1394 nt
Organism: Grammomys surdaster
Lineage: Eukaryota; Metazoa; Chordata; Mammalia; Rodentia; Muridae
Source: the annotation of a RefSeq genome assembly
GAUCUGAGUUGAGAGAGAACACUAUAGAAUAGAAAAUUUCACUCAAGACAAGAGCUAACAAUAUGCUGAUUCUAAGCCUGCUGGGAGCAGCCUUCAGCUCCAUUUGCUUUGCAACGAGCAUGGCCCAGAAGGUAACGCAGACGCAGACUUCAAUUUCUGCGAUGGAGAAGAAGAAUGUGACAAUGGGCUGUGUGUAUGAAACCCGGGAAAGUUCCUAUUACUUAUUCUGGUACAAGCAAACAGCAAGUGGGGAAAUGGUUUUCCUUAUUCGUCAGGAUUCUUACCAAAAGGAAAAUGCAACAGAGGGCCGUUACUCUCUGAACUUCCAGAAGUCAGAAAGCUCUAUCGGACUCACCAUCACAGCCACACGGAUUGAAGACUCAGCAGUAUAUUUCUGUGCUAUGAGUGAGGGCUUUUCGAAUGUGCUGAAAUUUGGACCUGGCACAAAAGUGAUUGUUCUACCAUAUAUCAAGGACCCAGAACCUGCUGUGUACCAGCUGACAGAUCCUCAGUCUAAGAACAGCACCCUGUGCCUCUUCACCGACUUUGAUUCUCAAGUCAAUGUGUCUCACAAGGAAUCUGCAAUGUUCUUCUCUAACAAAACCGUGCUGGACAUGAAGGCUACGGAUUCCAAGAGCAACGGGGCCAUUGUCUGGAGCAACGAAACGAGCUUCACCUGCAAUGAUGCCUUCAACGUGAACAUCCCCCACUCCAAUUCCGAAGUUCCCUGUGAUGCCAAGUUGAUGGAGAAAAGCUUUGAAACAGAUAUGAACCUAAACUUUCAAAACCUGUCAGUUAUGGGACUCCGAAUCCUCCUGCUGAAAGUGGCCGGAUUUAACCUGCUCAUGACUCUGAGGCUGUGGUCCAGAUGAGGUCAGCAAGAUCGAAAGAGCCUGACUGCCAAGCUCCUUCCUCCUCAUCACCCCUCCGAUCCCUCGUCAAGCCAAAAGGAGCCCUCCCAUCUCAUUAAAGAAGGCUGUCAGGGGUCUGGCUGGCCCCCACUCACAAUCCCGCCACCUGGAAUUCCCGGAUUUGUGAGGAAGGUUGCUGGAGAGCUAAGCACUGCUGCACCCACUCAGCCCCCUUACUGCUGCUGACCGUUCACAGAAAAGGCAGGGGCAGGGCUUCUCCCGGACCUGAAGACCCCUUCCCCAUGACAGAUUUCCCCGUAGAAUCCCUUGGAGAAUGUUGUAAAGAACAUGUUUUUCUGUGGGUUUUUUUGGUUUCUCUGUUUGUUUUUUUAUGCAUCCAUAAAGAAAUGCACAUUACUCUUUCAUCGAGGUAUAGAAAUUACCUCAUUGUCUAGCCCCUCCCUGCUGCUGUGUGUACUGAACCACAUUGUAGAUUAUUCUGUUGCCCAUGACUUCAUUAAAGGUGAUUCAGAAAAAACGAAA